GACGAACGCUGGCGGCGUGCUUAAUACAUGCAAGUCAACUGAAUUUGAGGUAGCAAUAUCUCAAGUAAGGUGGCGCACGGGUGAGUAACACGUAGGUAAUCUGCCUUUAGGACUGACAUAACCUAUCGAAAGGUAGGCUAAAUAUCAGAUGAUGCAGCGGCUCGACAUCGAGACAGUUGUUAAACCUUCGGGCCUGAAGAUGAGCCUGCGUCUGAUUAGGUAGUUGGCGGAGUAAAAGCCCACCAAGCCUGCGAUCAGUAGCUGGUCUGAGAGGAUGAUCAGCCACACUGGAACUGAGACACGGUCCAGACUCC
This 314-nucleotide ribosomal RNA is filed under the name uncultured bacterium. Its description in RNAcentral is "bacterial SSU rRNA". It matches the Rfam family "Bacterial small subunit ribosomal RNA", at positions 28 to 339 of the family's 1533-position model. The record is from RNAcentral.